AGUGAACGCUGGCGGUAGGCCUAACACAUGCAAGUCGAACGGCAGCACAGUAAGAGCUUGCUCUUACGGGUGGCGAGUGGCGGACGGGUGAGGAAUACAUCGGAAUCUACUUUUUCGUGGCGGAUAACGUAGGGAAACUUACGCUAAUACCGCAUACGACCUACGGGUGAAAGCAGGGGAUCUUCGGACCUUGCGCGAUUGAAUGAGCCGAUGUCGGAUUAGCUAGUUGGCGGGGUAAAGGCCCACCAAGGCGACGAUCCGUAGCUGGUCUGAGAGGAUGAUCAGCCACACUGGAACUGAGACACGGUCCAGACUCCUACGGGAGGCAGCAGUGGGGAAUAUUGGACAAUGGGCGCAAGCCUGAUCCAGCCAUACCGCGUGGGUGAAGAAGGCCUUCGGGUUGUAAAGCCCUUUUGUUGGGAAAGAAAAGCAGCAGGUUAAUACCCCGCUGUUCUGACGGUACUCAAAGAAUAAGCACCGGCUAACUUCGUG
This 492-nucleotide ribosomal RNA is filed under the name uncultured bacterium. RNAcentral's name for it is "partial 16S ribosomal RNA". It matches the Rfam family "Bacterial small subunit ribosomal RNA", at positions 29 to 507 of the family's 1533-position model. The record is from RNAcentral.